CGAGAGCCACACGAACAAAACCCGCCAAAUUUCACAUCGCAAAAAGGGAAACUCCGAAACGCUCACAGGUUCACAUUUCGCAAACAACUGAUAAAAUCCCCAAAGCCAAGUCAUGGCGUCUAUGCUCUCAUCUCACUCCAAUCUCUCUCUGUCUUCUUCUCCUCCUCCAUUUUCGCUUUCUCGCAAUCUCAACUUCCUCUCUAAAUCCCAUUCUUUCUGGUUCAGAACCAGAAAGCAAAGGCUGCAAUCUCCAUCUGUCUUCGCUUCUUCUGCCUCUCUUGAAGCUCUAGUAUUCGACUGCGAUGGAGUCAUUUUGGAAUCAGAGCACCUCCACCGCCAAGCUUACAACGAUGCUUUUGCUCAUUUCAAUGUCUGUUGCUCUUCCCGGCCUCUCAAUUGGGAUCUUGAGUUCUACGAUCAGCUCCAGAAUCAAAUCGGAGGCGGCAAACCCAAAAUGAGAUGGUACUUUAAGGAGCAUGGUUGGCCUUCUUCCACUAUCUUUGAGACGCCUCCGGAGCAUGAUGAGAGCCGCGCCAAGUUAAUCGAUACUCUUCAGGACUGGAAAACUGAAAGGUACAAAGAAAUAAUCAAAUCUGGAACUGUGCAACCUCGACCUGGAGUCUUGCGAUUGAUGGAUGAGGUCAAGGCUGCUGGAAAAAAGCUAGCGGUUUGCUCUGCUGCAACUAAAAGUUCAGUCAUACUCUGUCUUGAGAACCUUAUAGGACUUGAGCGGUUUCAAGGUCUUGACUGCUUCCUUGCAGGUGAUGAUGUUAAGGAAAAGAAGCCUGAUCCAUCGAUUUAUCUGACAGCUGUUAAGAGGCUAGGUGUGUCUAAGAGAGAUUGUUUAGUGGUGGAGGAUAGUGUCAUUGGUCUACAGGCAGCAAAAAGUGCUGGGAUGUCAUGUGUGAUUACUUAUACAUCUUCAACAGCUGACCAAGAUUUUAAAGAUGCCAUUGCAAUUUACCCUGAUCUAAGUAAUGCGAGAUUAAAAGACUUAGAGUUAUUGCUUCAAAGUGUUGUCGCUGCCAGCUAGGAAAUUCAGCAUAUUGCUUGGAAUUAAUAUCUUCAUUUUUGCAGCUUUAUGAAAUUGUCCUUUGCCAUAAAACAUUCAUUUGAAGUUUACAUCCAUAAUCACAAGUUGUAUGUUCUAGUGCCAGAAGCUUGACUUCUAUACCUGAUCUUCACUUGCAACAGUUAUAACAUAACAAAGAGGUAGGAUAUUUCAUUUGUUUUGGAAAUUUGAUUAAUGUUUAGCACACCCAUAACCGUGUAUUAAUGUUUAUGUAACUUAAUCAUUUAUCAAAUAAAAAAAUAUUUUUUUUUCCUUAAGUGACAAUUGUCAUAGCACUUGACAUAUACUACCUAACAUAUAGGUUUGUGCCAGCGUAGUGUUAAAAUAACCGCUGGAUUUAUCCAGACUUCUAGGAUGGUUGUACCUUUCCACUACAUGAAAACGCCACUGGCUAGGGAUAAACUGAGUUUUAUGCGCAUAAUUAUUUAUUCAAGCCUAUUGCAUGAUGAGCUGAGCACAUCCCAUACGUGGCCUUGACUGAAUUUAGGAAAUCCAAUUCAAUUUGAAGAUCUCUUUCAAUAGCUUAGUGUGACAAAAGAACAACAAAGUGGCGAGCAAGUGAAGAUAGAAGAAAUAAGUAAAUUCUAAUCAUUCACUGUGUUUAUAAAUUAUUGAUCAACAACGGUAAAGGGCGGAGCUAUGGCUCCACCAGUAAAGCCAAUUGACUGCAAUGAAAUACCAAUAGAUUAUUGAUAAAUAAUUUUUUUUUAUAAGCAUGUAAUGAAUGAUAUAAUUAAAUAUUAUAUAUUUCUUUCAAAACAAAAUUUAAUAAAUUGAAA
RNA transcript from Hevea brasiliensis (rubber tree), 1851 nucleotides. It is a transcript of the gene named haloacid dehalogenase-like hydrolase domain-containing protein At4g39970, with no coding region annotated. The transcript has 12 exons. The record is from RefSeq and is a predicted model, not a curated record. NCBI's taxonomy places the organism in Eukaryota, Viridiplantae, Streptophyta, Magnoliopsida, Malpighiales, Euphorbiaceae.